RNAcentral lists this ribosomal RNA (422 nucleotides) under uncultured bacterium. Its description in RNAcentral is "bacterial SSU rRNA". It matches the Rfam family "Bacterial small subunit ribosomal RNA", at positions 28 to 412 of the family's 1533-position model. The record is from RNAcentral.
GAUGAACGCUGGCGGCGUGCCUAAUACAUGCAAGUCGAACGCAUUGUGGUUGAAAUGAUAUGAAGAACUUGUUCAGAUUUGAUUUUCAACAUUGCAAUGAGUGGCGAACGGGUGAGUAACACGUGGGAAACCUACUUCUUAGCAGGGGAUAACAUUUGGAAACAAAUGCUAAUAACCGUAUAAUAAUUAAAACCGCAUGGUUUUAGUUUAAAAGAUGGUCUUGCUAUCACUAAGAGAUGGUCCCGCGGUGUAUUAGUUAGUUGGUGAGGUAAAUGGCUCACCAAGACAAUGAUACAUAGCCGAGUUGAGAGACUGACCGGCCACAAUGGGACUGAGACACGGCCCAUACUCCUACGGGAGCAGCAGUAGGAAUCUUCCACAAUGGACGAAAGUCUGAUGGAGCAACGCGCGUGUGUGAUGAA